GGGCCUAUAGCUCAGCUGGGUGAGAGCGCACGCCUGAUAAGCGUGAGGUCCCUGGUUCAAGCCCAGGUAGGCCCA
This 75-nucleotide transfer RNA is filed under the name Candidatus Vecturithrix granuli. It matches the Rfam family "tRNA". Rfam says of the family: Transfer RNA (tRNA) molecules are approximately 80 nucleotides in length. The record is from Rfam by way of RNAcentral. Lineage: Bacteria; Candidatus Moduliflexota; Candidatus Vecturitrichia; Candidatus Vecturitrichales; Candidatus Vecturitrichaceae.